RNAcentral lists this ribosomal RNA (388 nucleotides) under uncultured bacterium. RNAcentral's name for it is "bacterial SSU rRNA". It matches the Rfam family "Bacterial small subunit ribosomal RNA", at positions 28 to 417 of the family's 1533-position model. The record is from RNAcentral.
GACGAACGCUGGCGGCGUGCUUAACACAUGCAAGUCGAGCGGUAAGGCCCUUUCGGGGGUACACGAGCGGCGAACGGGUGAGUAACACGUGGGUGACCUGCCCUCAGCUCUGGGAUAGGCCUGGGAAACUGGGUCUAAUACCGGAUAUGACUCCAUGACGCAUGUUGUGGGGUGGAAAGCCUUGUGCGGCUGAGGAUGGGCCCGCGGCCUAUCAGCUUGUUGGUGGGGUGANGGCCUACCAAGGCGACGACGGGUAGCCGGCCUGAGAGGGCGACCGGCCACACUGGGACUGAGACACGGCCCAGACUCCUACGGGAGGCAGCAGUGGGGAAUCUUGCGCAAUGGGCGAAAGCCUGACGCAGCGACGCCGCGUGAGGGAUGACGGCCU